Molecule: ribosomal RNA, 253 nt
Filed under: uncultured bacterium
Lineage: Bacteria
Description: partial 16S ribosomal RNA
Rfam family: Bacterial small subunit ribosomal RNA
Source: RNAcentral
UACGUAGGGUGCGAGCGUUGUCCGGAAUUACUGGGCGUAAAGAGCUCGUAGGUGGUUUGUCGCGUUGUUCGUGAAAACCUGAGGCUUAACCUUGGGCGUGCGGGCGAUACGGGCAGACUGGAGUACUGCAGGGGAGACUGGAAUUCCUGGUGUAGCGGUGGAAUGCGCAGAUAUCAGGAGGAACACCGGUGGCGAAGGCGGUUCUCUGGGCCUGUACUGACGCUGAGGAACGAAAGCGUGGGGAGCGAACAGG